Non-coding RNA from Chiloscyllium plagiosum (whitespotted bambooshark), 215 nucleotides. NCBI's taxonomy places the organism in Eukaryota, Metazoa, Chordata, Chondrichthyes, Orectolobiformes, Hemiscylliidae. The record is from RefSeq and is a predicted model, not a curated record.
AUGCCCCACCUUGGUGCAACUUCCCACUGGAGAAAGGACAUCGAUUUGGAUUAUCUUCCACCUUGAACAGAACCAACUCGGAUUCAGCGCUGCACACGAGUGUGAACAAUCCGAAUGCAGCCAGUCCGUUCGCCAGCCCUGGCCAAGCCGUGCUCAGUCCCACCAAGCGAAGUGCAGGUUUAAUGGAUGGGGAACUGGACAGCCUGGGAAAAGGU